CCCCUCGUGUCUUGUGUUGCAGCCAGUGGAACGGCCACCAAUUAACUUCGGCGACCGGGACGGCACGGGGCGUGGCACGGAAUCGGGCCCGGGGGGCGGCGCCAGCGGGAGCCCCAGCUGCAAACUCCACGCCGUUACCACCGGUGCUCCAAAGGCCAGCUCGCGACCGCGUCCUCACAAUAAUACCCGAAAGAGUUGUCGGAUGAAUGGCACUCAUGAAAAGCUCAAGAUUGGUUUUCUCCAUACAUACAAAAGAAGACAACUCUGACAGACCAUCUGCUCUGUGCUAUUAAUAUUCAUAAAGCGUUCUGCAGUUAAAGAUUUGUCCAAGCCGUUGGGGCAUAGUGUAAAUUGCAUUUUUCUGAGAAGAGCGAAGUUGUUUUCUCUCAGAUCUAGAAUGUAGCUCUGAGUUCAGCCGUAGCGGUUUGUGAUGCGAGCAGCGCAGGUUGGACUGGGAGUGUGGGGUUGUGUCGGUGGGAUCUGCAGGGUAUGUGCACAGAAUUUGACAUGUUAACACGACAGAAGAAUACCUGCUUCCUUCACUGGAGCUGCCGUUUGCAGCUAGACCUUCUGUUGCCCCGUAUAACCUCCUGUCGUGCUGCCAGCAUAAAUAAAAUGGUUCACCAUUCUGGAAAUGUUUCGCGGUUGUUUUAGGAGAGAGUAUUGUGCCAAAAAUCUGUCUUCAGACUCUCGCACAUGUCUGUUUGUCUACUUAUCUCCCCUUUUCAUUGCCUUGCAAAAACACUCAUUAUUAAAUGUGACUCUUUGUGUAAUUGGAAAGACAAACAUGCACAUGCAUGCAUUUAAAGCACCAUUCUUAUGCUUUAAAGUAUUCAUUUGCUGACUAAUGGAGAUUUUAUCAGUGCUAGUUAAUUGAAGUUAUGCACGCAGGCAUAUUAAGAUGGUGGUGUUUAUGCAUAUCAGAGAGUAGUUUCUCUUCAGCACCUCAUUAAAGUAAAUAAAUAAAGUUCAGUUAGUCUGAACGAUUCUUUAGUAGCUGUAAAAACCUCUCAGGGUUUAGGCCUCACCCACGAAACCAGGCGUGAAAUACCCCCUUCUCCCUGGGGGGGGGGGGGGUGAAAAUGCCUCAGUAUGAGAGCAGGGAAAGAUUUGAAAAAGGAGAGAAUAGGGAGGGAGGGAGGGAGGGUUUGGCUCCGAGGAGUCAUUUAUUAAAAUGGUGUCAGGCAGCUCUCCUGCACCAGCUGUGACUGUCGCCUGCCACCAACAGAUCUUUGCAGAAAAGACUGAAAAAGACACGCUCACAUAGGGAGCGCGUUCCGCCUAAUCAUCCACACCCUUGAAAAGACCCCCUCGUUCAUAUUUUAAAAGCGCAGCAGCGCUCUGGCACUCCGGUGUUAAGCUGCUCAGCCCUCGGUCCUGAAAAAUGUACAGCUGUGGGUUUUGUGGGUCGCCCUGGAAACGAUCCUGGCGGGGCUGACUCUCCUGCCUUGGCGACUUUGGCGCUGCACUCACUCUGCUAUGAGCGGCCCGCAGCAGCGGUGUUCGGAAAUGCGCGGAAAAUUGAGAAGGUACAGAAAGCUGCACAAUGUCAGCUUUGUGAAAAAAGUAUUUGUGGAAGUAUGUGAUCAAGUCCAAGUAAGAUUGUAAGUUUUGUAAGGGCUUUUGCAGGAGUGGAAACUAAUAUAUUUUAAAAUAUGAAGAAAUUUGUUUUAAAAAUGCUUCAUUAGCUUUUACCGAGUAAAGAUACAAAACCCCAUCCAUGCUAAUUCUCUUUAAAUGCAGCUAGAGACGCACAGGUUAUCCAAAUUACUUCAUUACUUUUACUAAGUGAAAUCCAUUCAGUUUAUUCAAAUUAAAUAUUUAUAAUAAGCUCUUUUGAAACAGAAAGGGUUUGUAAUCACAAGCAAUAAUCAUUUUCACGCACAAAAGUUAAGUCUGGACCAUACAAAACACUAUCAAAAAGUCCAAACAAAUUUUCUUUUUGAAGUUAGUAUUCUUUGCAAUAUAUUGUUAUCUGUUUCUUGGAAAAUGGCAUAAUAUUGCAUCACGCAUCCUACUCUACUGCAGAAAAUGACAUUAAAAUGAUGUAUGUCUUUUGUACAUGUACGGUAUGAACAUUUAACCAAAAAAUAAUUUAAACAUAUUAUUCACGACAUUUUAAAACAUUCUUUAUAUGUUUACAUAAAGCAGUGUGUAAUAUUUUUACCCAGUUUUUGCAUAAUUAUAGCCGGUGUGCUAAUGCUCACCACCAAUCAGCUCGCAAAGUCACUUUUAAAGUGCUGUAUGUAUGUUUGUUUUAGAACACCUCUGUUCAUAUUUGGUUAAAUUUCUUACACAUCCUGACCGAUAUCAAUAAAUUAAAAGUU
Molecule: long non-coding RNA, 2327 nt
Organism: Anguilla anguilla (European eel)
Lineage: Eukaryota; Metazoa; Chordata; Actinopteri; Anguilliformes; Anguillidae
Exons: 2
Source: RefSeq, a predicted model, not a curated record